Molecule: ribosomal RNA, 466 nt
Filed under: uncultured bacterium
Lineage: Bacteria
Description: bacterial SSU rRNA
Rfam family: Bacterial small subunit ribosomal RNA
Source: RNAcentral
CCUACGGGUCGCAGCAGUGGGGAAUAUUGCACAAUGGGCGCAAGCCUGAUGCAGCCAUGCCGCGUGUAUGAAGAAGGCCUUCGGGUUGUAAAGUACUUUCAGCGGGGAGGAAGGCGAUAAGGUUAAUAACCUUGUCGAUUGACGUUACCCGCAGAAGAAGCACCGGCUAACUCCGUGCCAGCAGCCGCGGUAAUACGGAGGGUGCAAGCGUUAAUCGGAAUUACUGGGCGUAAAGCGCACGCAGGCGGUCUGUCAAGUCGGAUGUGAAAUCCCCGGGCUCAACCUGGGAACUGCAUUCGAAACUGGCAGGAUGGAGUCUUGUAGAGGGGGGUAGAAUUCCAGGUGUAGCGGUGAAAUGCGUAGAGAUCUGGAGGAAUACCGGUGGCGAAGGCGGCCCCCUGGACAAAGACUGACGCUCAGGUGCGAAAGCGUGGGGAGCAAACAGGAUUAGAUACCCGAGUAGUCA